GACGAACGCUGGCGGCGUGCCUAAUACAUGCAAGUCGAACGAACUCUGGUUUUUGAUUGACGGUGCUUGCACCUGAUUGAUUAAACAUUUGAGUGAGUGGCGAACUGGUGAGUAACACGUAGGAAACCUGCCCAGAAGCGGGGGAUAACACCUGGAAACAGAUGCUAAUACCGCAUAACAACUUGAACCGCAUGGUUCGAGUUUGAAAGAUGGCUCUGCUAUCACUUCUGGAUGGUCCUGCGGCGUAUUAGCUAGAUGGUGAGGUAACGGCUCACCAUGGCAAUGAUACGUAGCCGACCUGAGAGGGUAAACGGCCACAUUGGGACUGAGACACGGCCCAAACUCCUACGGGAGGCAGCAGUAGGGAAUCUUCCACAAUGGACGAAAGUCUGAUGGAGCAACGCCGCGUGAGUGAAGAAGGGUUUCGGCUCGUAAAACUCUGUUGUUAGAGAAGAACAUAUCUGUGAGUAACUGUUCAGGUAUUGACGGUAUCUAACCAGAAAGCCACGGCUAACUACGUGCCAGCCGCCGCGGUAA
This 537-nucleotide ribosomal RNA is filed under the name uncultured bacterium. RNAcentral describes it as "partial 16S ribosomal RNA". It matches the Rfam family "Bacterial small subunit ribosomal RNA", at positions 28 to 523 of the family's 1533-position model. The record is from RNAcentral.